RNAcentral lists this ribosomal RNA (468 nucleotides) under uncultured bacterium. RNAcentral's name for it is "partial 16S ribosomal RNA". It matches the Rfam family "Bacterial small subunit ribosomal RNA", at positions 28 to 507 of the family's 1533-position model. The record is from RNAcentral.
GACGAACGCUGGCGGCGUGCUUAACACAUGCAAGUCGAACGGAAAGGCCCUGCUUUGGUGGGGUGCUCGAGUUGCGAACGGGUGAGUAACACGUGAGUAACCUGUCCUUGACUGUGGGAUAACUUCAGGAAACUGGGGCUAAUACCGGAUAGGAGCUCCUGCUUCAUGGUGGGGGUUGGAAAGUUUCGGCGGUUGGUGAUGGACUCGCGGCUUAUCAGCUUGUUGGUGGGGUAGUGGCUUACCAAGGCCUUGACGGGUAGCCGGGCUGAGAGGGUGAGCGGACACAUUAGAACUGGACUGAGGCACAGACUCGUACGGGAGGGAACAGUGGAGUGUAGAGCACAAGGGGAGGAACGCUAGUGCAGCAAAGCAGCGUGGGGGGAGACGGCCAUCGGGUUGUAUUCCGCUUCCGCCUGUGACGAAGCGUGAAUGACGGUAAUGGGUAAAGAAGCACCGGCUAACUACGUG